UUCUAUGAAGCGUCAGUAACUAAUCUGUAGAUUGUAAUCGGUUAAGUUUAAGAGACUAAGGACUAUGUUGUGCCAAAAUGUGCACAGCAUUAACAAUAUAUGUAAUACUAGCGACCUCGGCAGGCGCAUCACACAGGGCGAGGCAAUCUACACACGAGCGGGGAGUGGACGCGAACCCGGGACCUCUUGCACUAAUCUAUUGCGCCGAUACCGCUGUACAAAAUGCUCCUUUCCAAGGAGCGUAUAUCGGAGUCAUGUCUUCGUGUGUGAUUAUGUCACCUACUAGACGUGCUGCAGGCCACAAUAUGUAAGCAUCUACAGCAAGAUGUGGGCUCAUGCCCACUUGGACCUGACCAGUCGCCUAGCUCAGGAGAUGCCAGAGAUGUCUUCUCUUUUGGAAAAGAACAGGGUGGUGUUUUUCCAGAGGGUGGCCACUCUCUGUGCACACAAUGUCCAGAUCUUCCAGAGGCUGGAGUCAGGGUAUGACCAGAUGGUGCAUCCCCAGAAGAGGAGCAUUCUGCAGCAGGUGCUGGAUGAAGUGAUAGGGUGGUGCUGGAGCUCAAGAACAAGUUGGCGACACCGGUAGACCUUGAGAUCCCUAUCCCCAAAUACUUCAUCAACGAAAGGGCCAAGGUCCUGCAUGAGAGAGGGCAGAUGUUAUCAGCGAUUCUGGACAGGGUGGGGUUGAAGACAAAACCGAAGGCUAAAGCCUGAUCACAAAUAAUAGUUCACCUACUUGAGUCACUUACAUAAAAUGACAUGCCAAAGCCAUUCCAGCAUUCUGAUUGGGCCAUUGUGAACAUGUUUUGGCUUUACAAGGAUAAGAAAUAUAUCUAUAUUCAAAUUGUGGUAUAGCUGAGAACCACUAGAUGGCACUCUUCUACUACAGCUGUUCAGUGUGAUUGCUAACUUUAAACUUCCUCCAGAUAACAAGAUCUUGGUGGAAUUCUAAAGGUUUAACCUUUUUUGACAUUUAGUUAAUAUAUAAAUAGAGGAUACUCCAUGAACGUUUAUUUUGUAUUAACCACAAAUAAGGAUGGAAAGAUAACCGUUGUGCUCCUGCACUCAGCUAAACACAGCACCAUGUACUUUCAUGUAUUCUGUACUGUAUGUACAGUAACAAGUACACUACAUGGUAAAAACAUUACUUUUCUUAUGCCAUACUCCAUAUGCUUUACCCCUAGCUUGGUAAAUAUCCUGGUUCACCUGGAAAGGUAAUCCUAACAUCUUCAAAGUUUUAAAGAUUUGAAUGUCUUGCUGCACUUAAGGCAGCUUGGUAAUUUAAAUUAUUUGCAUUUUUAGUGUGUGCAAAUUAUAUUUAACAACCAUGGGGAUAACAUCUUUAUUCACAUAAUCCUACCUGCCCACACUAGAGAUAGAGAUGCUCCAGAUAAUACUUAUAGAUGGAAAACUUCGUUGUAUUUCUGGAAGGAAAUAGGGCAUUAGGGCAGCAGUGUGGAGUAGUGGUUAGGGCUCUGGACUCUUGACCGGAGGGUUGUGGGUUCAAUCCCUGGUAGGGGACACUGCUGCUGUACCCCUGAGCAAGGUACUUUACCUAGAUUGCUCCAGUAGAAACCCAACUGUAUAAAUGGGUAAUUGUAUGUAAAAAUAAUGUGAUAUCUUGUAACAAUUGUAAGUCGCCCUGGAUAAGGGCGUCUGCUAAGAAAUAAAUAAUAAUAAUAAUAAGGAGAAUCCGCCCACUAAUCAACACAUCAUAUCCAAGCGCAAUAAAAACUCUGUGUGGCUUUCAUUCAUAUUGCUUCUUUUGUUUGGCCUCUCAGUCACACAAGGCCAGGCCAGGCCAAACAGGGAUACGGCCAUCUAUAGAGCCUGGAGGAAGGGUUACCCUCAGCCAUGGAUUCCCUAAAGUUUCCUCCUACCACUUAAUUUGUUUUUUUUUCCUUACCUGAGUGCCGAGCGGUCCGUAUUUAGUUUCUGCAGGGUGCGUGGCAGGCUGGAGAGGCCGGGUUCUCCCUCAGUGCAUUUCAUGCACUGGGGGGCGGGCCCGUGUCUCAGCUGCUUACUUUUCAUUCAUCAUUACGUCCUCUGCUAUUCCUAAUCUACAUUAGUGACUUAGAUUCUGGUAUAGUAAGCAAACUUGUUACAUUUGACACAAAAAUAGGAGGAGUGGCAAACACUGUUGCAGCAGCAAAGGUCAUUCAAAAUGAUCUAGACAGCAUUCAGAACUGGGCAGACAAAUGGGAAAUGACAUUUAAUAGAGAAAAGUGUAAGGGACUGCACGCAGGCAAUAAAAAUGUGCAUUAUAAAUAUCAUAUGAGAGAUACUGAAAUUGAAGAAGGAAUCUAUGAAAAAGAUCUAUGAGUUUAUGUUGACUCAAAAAUGUCUUCAUCUAGACAAUGUGGGGAAGCUAUAAAAAAGGCCAGAAAGAUGCUCGGAUAGUGUUAAAUUUAAAUCAAGGGAAAUUUUUCUGAUGUCUAGAAAGUGGAUACUUAGCAGACCCUGAACAAUAGGAAAUCAGUAUCUGUUCUCCUCCAUCUACAUAAUAUCAUGACUACCAUAGUUUCUCUCAUUCAACAAAUGUUUCAGCAUGCCUGCUGCAUUAAUAACUCAAAUGUGAAGAAAAAAAAACUACACAGAAAAAUGUUAAAGAGAGAAAUCAGUUGGGAUUAUGUUUAUUUAUCUGCAUUUAAGCAAUAAAAAAAAGUAAAUUAAAAAUUCAUAUAUAUAUAAUUGAGGCCAGAUCUAAACCUGUCCUUGUUCAUGUUCUAUCCAAAUGAAGAGUAUCCCAAAAUAGUAAAUGAGCCAAGUCAAAUUAUCUCAUAUUUUAAGGUCCUGUAUAUUGGGACUGCUCAGAAUACUGAUUGACCAGUCAGCAAUUUUCUUUCAUCAAUUUUAUAAUCUGUAAGUGUGGAGCACUCUAAAAUAAAUGACGUUUGAUACUAAUUGCUCCAGUGAUG
Acipenser ruthenus (sterlet) is the source of this 2918-nucleotide long non-coding RNA. RefSeq lists it as uncharacterized. Lineage: Eukaryota; Metazoa; Chordata; Actinopteri; Acipenseriformes; Acipenseridae. The record is from RefSeq and is a predicted model, not a curated record. The transcript has 3 exons.